GACGAACGCUGGCGGCGUGCUUAACACAUGCAAGUCGAACGGGAUUUAGUAAACAGAAGCCUCGGUGGAAGAUUACUAAUGAGAGUGGCGAACGGGUGAGUAACGCGUGAGCAACCUGCCUAUGACAGUGGGAUAGCCUCGGGAAACCGGGAUUAAUACCGCAUAAAAUCGUAGAAACACAUGUUUUAACGGUCAAAGAUUUAUCGGCCAUAGAUGGGCUCGCGUCUGAUUAGCUAGUUGGUGAGAUAACAGCCCACCAAGGCGACGAUCAGUAGCCGGUCUGAGAGGAUGAACGGCCACAUUGGAACUGAGACACGGUCCAAACUCCUACGGGAGGCAGCAGUGGGGAAUAUUGCACAAUGGGGGAAACCCUGAUGCAGCGACGCCGCGUGAACGAAGAAGGUAUUCGUAUCGUAAAGUUCUGUCCUAUGGGAAGAUAAUGACAGUACCAUAGAAGAAAGCUCCGGCUAAAUACGUG
Molecule: ribosomal RNA, 478 nt
Filed under: uncultured bacterium
Lineage: Bacteria
Description: partial 16S ribosomal RNA
Rfam family: Bacterial small subunit ribosomal RNA
Source: RNAcentral